GUGCGUCUGACGAGUCCCAAAUAGGACUAAACGCGCGUCUCGGAU
This 45-nucleotide non-coding RNA is filed under the name Schistosoma curassoni. The record is from RNAcentral. Lineage: Eukaryota; Metazoa; Platyhelminthes; Trematoda; Strigeidida; Schistosomatidae.